AGUAUAAACUUUUAUAUGGUGAAGCUGUGAAUGGCUCAUUAAAUCAGUUACAGCUUAUUUGAUGAUCACUCCAUAUAUGGAUAACCAUGGUAAUUCUGCCGCUAAUACAUGCGCAUACACCCGACUCUGUGGAAGGGUGGUGUUUGCUAGGCACAGAACCAACCUGGGCUGCGCCCGGCCGUGUGGUGAUUCAUAAUAACUGAGCGAAUCGUACAGCGCCAGCGGGGGAUGAGUCAUUCAGGUUUCUGACCUAUCAGCUUCCGUCGGUAGGGUAUUGGCCUACUGUGGCGAUGACGGGUAACGGAGAAUUAGGGUUCGAUUCCGGAGAGGGAGCCUGAGAAAUGGCUACCACAUCUAAGGAAGGCAGCAGGCGCGCAAAUUACCCAAUCUUGACACAGUGAGGUAGUGACAAGAAAUAACAAUACAGGGCAUCCAUGUCUUGUAAUUGGAAUGAAUAGAACUUAAAUCCCUCUGCGAGUACCGAUUGGAGGGCAAGUCUGGUGCCAGCAGCCGCGGUAAUUCCAGCUCCAAUAGCGUAUAUUAAAGUUGUUGCGGUUAAAAAGCUCGUAGUUGGACCUCUGCCGAGGACGACUGGUCCGCCCUCUGGGUGAGUAUCUGGCUUGGACUGGGCAUCUUCUUGGAGAGCGUAGCUGCGCUUGACUGCGUGGCUCGAUAUCCAGGACUUUUACUUUGAGGAAAUUAGAGUGCUUCAAGCAGGCGUGUGCCCUGAAUAUGUGAGCAUGGGAUAAUAAGACAGGACCUCAGUCCUAUUUUGUUGGUUUCUAGAGCUGAGGGAAUGAUUAAUAGGGAUAGUUGGGGGCAUUCGUACUUAACUGUCAGAGGUGAAAUUCUUGGAUUUGAUAAAGAUGGACUACUGCGAAAGCAUUUGCCAUGGAUGUUUUCAUUGAUCAAGAACGAAAGUUAGGGGAUCGAAGACGAUCAGAUACCGUCCUAGUCUUAACCAUAAACUAUGCCGGC
RNAcentral lists this ribosomal RNA (978 nucleotides) under Peridinium bipes. Its description in RNAcentral is "SSU rRNA". It matches the Rfam family "Eukaryotic small subunit ribosomal RNA", at positions 62 to 1046 of the family's 1831-position model. The record is from RNAcentral. Lineage: Eukaryota; Dinophyceae; Peridiniales; Peridiniaceae.